This 72-nucleotide transfer RNA is filed under the name Ovis aries (sheep). It matches the Rfam family "tRNA". Rfam says of the family: Transfer RNA (tRNA) molecules are approximately 80 nucleotides in length. Lineage: Eukaryota; Metazoa; Chordata; Mammalia; Artiodactyla; Bovidae. The record is from Rfam by way of RNAcentral.
UCCCUGGUGGCUCAGAUGGUAAAGAAUCUGCCUAUAAUGCAGGUGACCCAGGUUCAAACUCUGGUUUGGGAA